RNAcentral lists this ribosomal RNA (1438 nucleotides) under uncultured bacterium. Its description in RNAcentral is "bacterial SSU rRNA". It matches the Rfam family "Bacterial small subunit ribosomal RNA". The record is from RNAcentral.
AGGGUUUGAUCCUGGCUCAGAACGUACGCUGGCGGCACGCCUAACACAUGCAAGUCGAACGAAGUAGCAAUACUUAGUGGCAGACGGGUGAGUAACAUGUAGGUAUCUGCCCUAUGGCCUGGAAUAACACGAGGAAACUUGUGCUAAUACCGGAUAAGUCUUUACGGAGAAAGCUUUAUGCACCAUUGGAUGAGCCUGCAUUUGAUUAGUUUGUUGGUGGGGUAAUGGCCUACCAAGACUGUGAUCAAUAGCUGAUUUGAGAGGAUGAUCAGCCACAUUGGGACUGAGACACGGCCCAAACUCCUACGGGAGGCAGCAGUGGGGAAUCUUGCACAAUGGGGGAAACCCUGAUGCAGCGAUGCCGCGUGAGUGAAGAAGGCCUUUGGGUUGUAAAGCUCUUUCGUCGGGGAAGAAAAUGACUGUACCCGAAUAAGAAGGUCCGGCUAACUUCGUGCCAGCAGCCGCGGUAAUACGAAGGGACCUAGCGUAGUUCGGAAUUACUGGGCUUAAAGAGUUCGUAGGUGGUUGAAAAAGUUGGUGGUGAAAUCCCAGAGCUUAACUCUGGAACUGCCAUCAAAACUUUUCAGCUAGAGUAUGAUAGAGGAAAGCAGAAUUUCUAGUGUAGAGGUGAAAUUCGUAGAUAUUAGAAAGAAUACCAAUUGCGAAGGCAGCUUUCUGGAUCAUUACUGACACUGAGGAACGAAAGCAUGGGUAGCGAAGAGGAUUAGAUACCCUCGUAGUCCAUGCCGUAAACGAUGUGUGUUAGACGUUGGAAAUUUAUUUUCAGUGUCGCAGCGAAAGCGAUAAACACACCGCCUGGGGAGUACGACCGCAAGGUUAAAACUCAAUGAAUUGACGGGGACCCGCACAAGUAGUGGAGCAUGUGGUUUAAUUCGAAGAUACGCGCAGAACCUUACCAACACUUGACAUGUUCGUCGCGACUUUAAGAGAUUAAAGUUUUCGGUUCGGCCGGACGAAACACAGGUGCUGCAUGGCUGUCGUCAGCUCGUGUCGUGAGAUGUUGGGUUAAGUCCCGCAACGAGCGCAACCCUCACUUUUAGUUGCCAUCAUUAAGUUGGGCACUCUGAAAGAACUGCCAGUGAUAAGCUGGAGGAAGGUGGGGAUGACGUCAAGUCCUCAUGGCCCUUACGUGUUGGGCUACACACGUGCUACAAUGGUAUCUACAACAGGAAGCAAAACCGCGAGGUUAAGCAAAUCCUUAAAAGAUACCUCAGUUCGGAUUGCACUCUGCAACUCGAGUGCAUGAAGCUGGAAUUACUAGUAAUCGUGGAUCAGCGUGCCACGGUGAAUGCGUUCCCGGGUCUUGUACACACCGCCCGUCACACCAUGGGAGUUGGUUCUACCUUAAGGCAAGGUUUCAAACCCUUGACCACGGUAUAGUCAGCGACUGGGGUGAAGUCAUAACAAGGUAGCCGUA